UAUGAAGUCGGAAUUGCUAGUAAUCGCAGAUCAGCAUGCUGCGGUGAAUACGUUCCCGGGCCUUGUACACACCGCCCGUCACACCAUGAGAGUCGAUAACACCCGAAGCCUGUAGUCUAACCAUAAGGGGGACGCAGUCGAAGGUGGGAUUGAUAAUUAGGGUGAAGUCGUAACAAGGUAGC
This 182-nucleotide ribosomal RNA is filed under the name uncultured bacterium. Its description in RNAcentral is "partial 16S ribosomal RNA". It matches the Rfam family "Bacterial small subunit ribosomal RNA", at positions 1319 to 1500 of the family's 1533-position model. The record is from RNAcentral.